Cyanistes caeruleus (blue tit) is the source of this 1795-nucleotide long non-coding RNA. The record is from Ensembl. Lineage: Eukaryota; Metazoa; Chordata; Aves; Passeriformes; Paridae.
AGGCAAAUUGACAUAUAUUUCACUUAACCUUUUGGUGUCCUAAUCUUUGAGCAGGAACUCCUGUUUUUCACUGGAGGGAGAGACAAGCCCUUCUGAAUGGGAAUCCCAACUUUUAGAAGAGGUGUGUGAAGAACAGCUGAAGCUACACUGUGGGAAAUGAUGAGGAGAGGAGAAUUGUUUGUGGAGAACCACUACUGGGUCACAGAACAGUUCCUAAACCUUUCUAAGCCUGGAUCAAUCUUCACAGACUGUAGGUGCUUGAAAUUACUGAACUGCAGCACUUGCCAGCACUAAACUAGAGGCCUGUAAGGAAUGGGUGGCUGUAUUUCAGAGCUGGAGCCAGUACAGCUGCUUUCUACCUUUCAGAAGUGCAUGAAUUGUGGCUUAGCUUUUGGAGUUCAGACACAGACCACAAGCUGCAGAUUCUUACUACCUACAGAGUCUGGAACAGAGGGAGGGUUGUGCUGCAGGCCUGGAGACAGCUGGGAUAAUUAGAGCACCUGAAGAUCCUGAUAGGGUCUUCAAAGAUAAUCCUGCUUCUUCUUCUCACCCCCACUGAGCUGUCAAGGGUUUCAGUGCUGUGAUAUGGAAUCAUUGCCUCUGUAAGACUGAAAAAAAGCCCUGCUUGAACUGGAUUCUGAUCAAAGAGAAUCAUUUAUAGGAGAGAUGCAGCAGGAACCUCAGGGAAAUUUUUUUUAGCAGCAGGACCAUAUGAAAUGGAAAAGACAAAGCAAGAGACUUUCAAACAUUUUUUAAACUUACAGCUGCAUUAUUAUGGUUUCUAUUGUAUAAUGUUUGUCUUUUUUUGUCUUUUUUUUUUUUCUUUUUUUUUUUUUUUGUAUUUCUUCUAACCUUGUUGCCGUGCUAUUCAGUACCACAGUGAAAUGGGGUAGGACACAUUCAUGUAGCUCCUGUGAAAACAGAUUUACUUAGAAGACCUAGGAAUUACAGAACUGCUUUUUGUGAGGAAGGGAAGGGAAGACAGAACAUUUCACAGGAAGUAGAAAGUGCAUGAGGAGAUGUCAUGUGACUUUACCUUUAAGGUGGUUUUGAGAGCUAAGGAAGUUGAAGUUGCUGGUGGCUGAUGAGAGUCUUUUCUCCUGACCAAUUAUCAGUCAUUACUGGGAAUUGACAGCAGUUUUGACCAUUGAAAAGUGAGAUCAACUUGUGAACCCUACCUUAAGAUGUAAAGUCAGGGCACCUUAGUUCUCUUUGUUUCCUGGCUGUGAAAGUAACAGAGCUCCAGGCCUCCCGUCCCCUGCCCAGGCCAUGCGGCCGGGUGGGGCUGGGCUGGGCCUGCUGCGUCUCCCGGCCGGGAGAUGGGGCCUGCGGAAGGUUUUCCCCGGGCUCUGGCCGGGCCAGGCCGAUCUCUGGCUCGGCUGCAGGUUUUGCUGUGACUGAAUUUACUAGAGAUGCCGAGUGAAGAAAGAAAGAGGCUCUGAACCUGCAGCGGGCUAAAGCGGCGACUAAACUCUCCAGAGCAGCUGUGAAGAACCUUCCAUCCCAGACAGCUCCAGCUCCUGUUCAGCAGAGAUCACCGAACCAUCUACAAAGCCUGGGCAAGAUUUUAACCCUUUCAUUACCCAGAUGAGCCUUGCAGAUUAAUCUUUUUAUCCAGAGAAAGAAAAAGAGAGUAAUCAACAUGAAAAGAGACUUUAUAAACUAUCAGAGACAGUAAAGAAAAGAAGCUUCAGAAAAAGUAGAGAAUAAGGAGAUGCUUUAAUUAAGAUGAAAUAUUUUUCUGUUAAAGCUAUGGAGAUGGACAAUAAAGUCCUGAAAGAACUCCUUUAAUUCA